CUGCUGCCUCCCGUAGGAGUUUGGGCCGUGUCUCAGUCCCAAUGUGGCCGUUCACCCUCUCAGGCCGGCUACUGAUCGUCGCUUUGGUGGGCCGUUACCCCGCCAACUGGCUAAUCAGACGCGGAUCCAUCGUAUACCACCGGAGUUUUUCACACUGUUCCAUGCGGAACCGUGCGCUUAUGCGGUAUUAGCACCUAUUUCUAAGUGUUAUCCCCCUGUAUACGGCAGGUUAUCCACGCGUUACUCACCCGUCCGCCACUAACCCAA
This 267-nucleotide ribosomal RNA is filed under the name uncultured bacterium. RNAcentral's name for it is "partial 16S ribosomal RNA". The record is from RNAcentral.